RNAcentral lists this ribosomal RNA (1411 nucleotides) under uncultured fungus. RNAcentral's name for it is "eukaryotic LSU rRNA". The stretch from base 757 to 1411 matches the Rfam family "Eukaryotic large subunit ribosomal RNA", at positions 1 to 649 of the family's 3401-position model. The record is from RNAcentral. Lineage: Eukaryota; Fungi.
AAGUCGUAACAAGGUUUCCGUAGGUGAACCUGCGGAAGGAUCAUUAUUGAAACACUUUGGUGAAUCUUUAAGAUAUAUACCCUGAAUGUUGACCCUUUACCAUGUUGCUUCCACCUGGUGUUUGUGUGUAUGUGGUUGUGCGUAUGUGUGUGUGUGUAUGUCUGUGUGUAUGCUUGUGUGGUAAUGAAUGGGACAUUUUUGUCUUGCUCUGUCUGCCAGCUGCCAGCAGCCACCGCCAUCCCAACCUCCUUCCCUCUACCUGGUGGAUGGCUUCUCAUACAAAUUCUGUAUAUAGCAUAAAUGUUUUUCUGAAAUUAUUUAUAAUUAAUAAAUUAAAACUUUCAACAACGGAUCUCUUGGCUCCUGCAUCGAUGAAGAACGCAGCGAAAUGCGAUAAUUAAUGUGAAUUGCAGAAUUCAGUGAAUCAUCGAGUCUUUGAACGCACAUUGCGCCUCUUGGUAUACCUUGAGGCAUGCCUGUCUGAGCGCCUGAAAGAAGCCACUCAACAAAUGUCUUUGUCAUGGAGAUAUUAGUUGGAUUUGUAUCAAAGAAGUAUUUUUCUUUCAUUCUUUCCCUCGGGAAAAGAUUAUGAUGAAAAAAGAAACAAAACUCUUUGUAAAUCUAUGAUUGGGGUAAUUCUGUAGAUGCGACCUUGGGGAGACUUUAUAUUGUCAAGUGUCGGUUUUACAUCUAUAAGGAUUUCCUAAUCUUUGAAACCCAUUUGGUUUGCUUGUGUUGCAAACAAAACUAUGUACUGGGCCUCAGAUCAGUAGGGAUACCCGCUGAACUUAAGCAUAUCAAUAAGCGGAGGAAAAGAAACCAACAGGGAUUGCCUCAGUAACGGCGAGUGAAGCGGCAAAAGCUCAGAUUUUAAAUCUACUGUCCUUUGGGCAUUUGAGUUGUAAUCUGUAGAGAGGUGUUCGAGUAGUGUCUUGGCUCAAGUUCCUUGGAACAGGAUAUCAUGGAGGGUGAGAAUCCCGUGAAUGGCCUUGAAUCUUACUGCUCAUUGUGAACCUUCUUCAACGAGUCGAGUUGUUUGGGAAUGCAGCUCUAAAUGGGUGGUAAAUUUCAUCUAAAGCUAAAUACUGGCAGGAGACCGAUAGCGCACAAGUAGAGUGAUCGAAAGAUGAAAAGAGCUUUGGAAAGAGAGUUAAAUAGUACGUGAAAUUGUUGAAAGGGAAGCACUUGCUCCCAGACUAGCCUGGUACCAAUCAUCCUUCAUUCUUUGUAGGUGCACUUGGUUUCCCUAGGGCAGGCCAGCAUCAGUUUAGACAGAGGGAAAAGGCCUAGGGGAAUGUGACUCUCUUUGGAGAGUGUUAUAGCCUCUGGUGUGUGAUAUCUCUAGUCCUGGACUGGGGACCGCGCUUUGUUUUUCAAAGUGAGGAUGCUGGCAUAAUGGUUGUAAGUGACC